Molecule: long non-coding RNA, 4100 nt
Organism: Sarcophilus harrisii (Tasmanian devil)
Lineage: Eukaryota; Metazoa; Chordata; Mammalia; Dasyuromorphia; Dasyuridae
Exons: 2
Source: RefSeq, a predicted model, not a curated record
UUUGGUCCUGUCGAUGACGGGGAUGAUGGGGCAGACCCAGAGAGGGAAGGCGCCUUCGGAAAGCCCCUGCUGUGUGCCAGGCGCCUUAUCUCCUGGCAGGCAGGCGCCCCUGGGAUCCCCAUCUUACAGAGGAGGUUGUGGGACUUCCCUGAGUCACCCAGCCAGUAAGUGUCAGAGGCUGGAUUGGAACUCAGACCUUCCCCUCUGCAGCCCAGGUCCAUGCCCUGCCCAAGGGAGGUGAGGAGGCUUCCCCAGCCAGCUGGAGCCAGAACUCGGGCUCCCGAGGCCUGGGGUGCCGUCUCCCAGGUGGCCCUGGCCCAGCGUGGGGCGUCCAGCCCUGAGGACUCCGCCCGCUCGGCUGUGGGGUGGCCCCGGGCCCAGCAGUGACAGAAGCAGCCCGGGCAGCAGGGGGCAUGCAGGGCUGGCCCAGCCGGGCCCCCUCCUCCGUCGCUUCAGAGCCCCAGGUCACCUCCUGGCAGGAAGUUCAUAUAUUGUCACUUCUUGACAGUUGGAGAAACAGAGGCUCCCAGAACCACAUAGUUGGGACAGGAUUUCUCCAACCCCGUUUCUGUCGAAACUCUCCCUCUUUUUGUCCUUGGCCCCCCCUCACACGCCCCCUCCCAUUUGUGCCCUGCUCCCCCAGCCUUUUUCCCCCACAGGGUCCCCAGAGGAGAGACUGAGGCAGGAAGGGGUCCUGGAGGACAUGGGCCAGGAAAACCAGGGUGAGCCGGGCCAGGAAGUGCUCCAUCUCCCCACAGGAGUUGGAAGGAGUUAAAAGAAUCAGGGCUAGGAUACGGCAUGAGUCAGAUCUGCAAAGGCAUUAUUGAGAGAAGGCAAGAGAAACCCUUCAAAAGCUGGCCAUGGCCAACUGUCCUCCCAAGGGGCACCUGUAAGCCGGCCUUUCGUCACUUGGCGGUAUCUAAAACGCGCGAGGAGGGGCUUGUGUCCAGUGUCAUGAUUGCACUCUUUCAUUAAAUGGAAAAUGGUGGUGACCGAGACCCCUUCCUUUACCUUGGAUGAAGCCCGAUUCUCCCACCCUGGCUCUGCUUGUAGUGAGACAGGCUGGCUUUGAAGUCCAUCCUCAGGACGCUGGGAAGUCACCAUCAUGGUCACGAUGGCCAGAUAAGGCACUGGGGGCCAAACGCCUGCUCUGGGGUCACCCAGCUGUCGGGGGCCUGCGCUCUCCCCGGCCUGCCCCACAGCCGCCAGAACCGGCGCUCCAGAGAGAGCUGGGGCCGAGGGUGUGCUGAACAAGCAUGGGCUCAGCCUUGUAUACUCUGAGAGGCAGUGCAGCCAAGGGCCCCCAAGUGGGCCCCGAGGUCAGGAAGCCUGAAGUCAGGAGGCCAGCAGUCAGGAGGUGUGAGGUCAGGAGGCGUGAGGUCAGGAGGCCCCAAGGUCAGGAGGCCCCUGGUCAGGAGACCUGAGGUCAGGAGGCCCCGAGGUCAGGAGGCCCCUGGUCAGGAUGUCCCAAGGUCAGGCUCUGCUGCUGACACUCCCUGGCUCUGACUCUGAGCAAGGCCCUGCUUUGGGCCUCCAGCCCCUGGGGUGCUGCAGAGGUGUCGGCAAGGAGGGGAUUGUCAGUGACAGACCGGGGCCAGGCCCCUUUCCAUCCACUGCAUGAUUUCAUUCCAUUCCCACACCCCUGUGAGCAAGGAGCUGUGAUUGGAGCCUGUUUUUUAAAUGGGGAACUGGAGGCUGAACCCCACGGGCCGACUGUGCUGUGGGGAGCCCUCCCUGCUCGGGGGCACGGCGGGAGGAAGCCCUGCGCCCAUCCUCAUUCUCCUCUGGGCUCCUCUGAAAAGCCCCGGAGGACAAAGCAAAAACAGGUCAGAGUGGGCGGAAAUCCAGAUGAACAAGGCCAUGGCCAAAGGGCCUUAUCCGGGCUCACGCUUCUGAAAGAGCGGCUAAAUGCACUCCUGGCUGUGGCUGGGGGAGGGACUCGCCUCCCUCCUUGGUUUUGACUUGGCUAAACCAGGAGCCCCCAGAGUCAUAGCCGGUGUGUCUGAGCCAGAUUUGAAUCCGGCUCUUUCUCCCUUAAUCCCAGCCCUGGCUCCAUGGAAUCUUGUUUGUCCCCUUGCUGGGGCCCGGAUGAGCCCAGGGGGGUUCUGGGCCACCUCCAGCUUCAGAGAGCAGUGCCAAUGGCCACCAGCUGUCAGCUGCAGCCGCUGCAGGCCUGCUAGUGCCGCCGGGGUCUGACCCCUGGGGAGUCUCCGCGCCUCUUGUCCGGGGGCUAUUCAAGGCUUCUUGCUGGCAGGGAGGGAGUCGGGGAUGAGCCGGGGGCAGAGCUGUUUUCCAAGGUCCCCUAUGUGUCCAGAGCCCCGUGACUGGACUUUGUUGAAACAAAGAAACGCCAUAGAACAUUGUGUGCUGGGAAAUCACCGGCCUCCUUGGGCUGGAGAUUAAGCCCUGCCUGACUCACUCCUUGCAUUAGAAAUCACUGCGAUUUGCGCCGAGUCCCAGCCUGCACCAGGUGGACAGCCAGGACUCUCAGCUUGUCCUGGGGGCUCCUUUCAGGGCCCAGCUUUGAUCCAUACUCCUGGCCUGCAAACCGUAGUUUGGGAUCAAAGAUUGAUCGUGUAUGGAUAAAGAACAUUGUGAAUCCCAACUGGUCCAAAAUAAAUGGCUCCUGACGAAUCAGCUUCAGUUUCUGGUGCUUCACCUGAGCUCCUGCUAUGCCCCGGAGCCACGGUGGGCUGGGAGAACCUCCCCUUUCUGGAGGAGAAGCCAGGACUCCCCUCGUCCUCAGUGGCAGCUUUGUGUUCUGUGGCUUUCUGCCAGAGGCACCUCCUUGACAUGACUCCUCAUCUCAGACUUGGGGUCACUGGGCCUUCAGUUCGGAGUCGCUGGGGUGGCGUCAUCCUUCACCCCCAAAUUUCCAGCCUAGAGUCCUGGUGGAGCCAGCAGGAGCCUGAUGCUGGGGGGGGGGGAGAAGGUGAUAGCCCCACAUUCACAUCGCCACCUUGUUUUCCCUGGCCUGGGAAAGCUUUAGUGCCUGUUACGGAACAGCCUUUCCCUUGUUGUGCAUCAGAACCACUAAACAAAGCUAAUUCCCUCCAGGUUAAGGAAAAUAUGGCAGGACAUUUCAGAUAGAUUGUCCUCAGGAAACUGCCGCCUUCUGAUUAUUGAAAUGAAAUGUCUGCAAAUUCAGGGGUUUAGCCAAAAGAACUCCUAAGGGGAAGUUCUGGUAAGAUCUCUAAUAGUAUAGAUGGGUAUAGGAUAUACCUUUGAGAUCAUCUGGUGCAGCUGUGUGGAGCCCAAGGUCCCCACUCAAGGCCGGGCUUUGCCUUUGUGAAUGGUGACCUCUGAGGCACAGAGGUUCCAUUGCUAGAGCCCUUCACACUUCCCAGGCCCUGGGGGUAGCUGGGCAGGCCCUCCCUGCCCGGGUCACCCCUCUCGGUCACCCUCCCUGCCCAGGUCAUCACCUCUCUCUGUCACCCUCCCUGCCCAGGUCACCUCUCGAUCACCCCGGCCUCUAAGGUGUAGAACUUGGAGGUGGCCGGCGGUUCCCGGCGUGCACUUGCAGCUUUAAUUACCCUGCCUCCCUCAGAUAAAGGUCAGCAACACAAAAGCUGGCUUAUGUGCGGAUGGAACAAGCCAGUUCAGGUCAUCUCCACGCUCGUGUCUCUGGCCCAGAUCUUUUUAAAAAUAAGUCUGGUUGUGCUGAGCCGCGCGCCCUCGGUCUCGGCUGGCCUGGUUUGCUUGGCUUGGCUCGAAGGUGUUGUGGUGAUAAACAGUUAGGCCGCACCCGGGGCUGCCCCCGGGACUGGGCGAGACCCCCCUGGGCAGCCGCCGGUCCGGGAGAGCUUUAUCGGGGGAGGUUUGGCCACAUGUGGCCCCAGCAGGAACUCUGGCCUCGGAGCGUGUUGGUGGGUUAACGGCUUCUGACCUGACAGAGAGAUCCCUGGGAAACAUUAGGGGCACAGAGCUUCCCUCCUUGCUGGGACUUGAAUGGGGGAGGGGGACGGGCCUGGUCUCCCGCAGGGUUCCAUUGUCAAGGAAGGUUAUUGCAAAGGCCAAGUUGAAAGCAAGAUUUCGCCCCAUCGUUGUCCGGGUGCUUCAUGUGACCCACCAGGGCAUCCCCGGAGGGGGGGAGGGGCACA